GUGCCAGCAGCCGCGGUAAUUCCAGCUCUCAAAGUGUAUAUCGUCAUUGCUGCGGUUAAAAAGCUCGUAGUUGGAUCUGCGUCUGAGGACCUGGUCCAUCCAUUGGAUGAGAACUGGGCUCCUAGACUAAUAUUGCGAGUUUUCCAUACGUUACCUUGAUCGGUUGCGUAUGGUGGCUAGCAAGUUUACCUUGAAAAAAUUAGAGUGCUCAAUGCGGGCUAAUGCCUGAAUACUCGUGCAUGGAAUAAUGGAAUAGGAUCUCGGUUCUAUUUUGUUGGUUUUCUGAUCUGAGAUAAUGGUUAAGAGGGACGGACGGGGGCAUUCGUAUCGCUGCGUGAGAGGUGAAAUUCUUGGACCGUAGCGAGACGUACGACUGCGAAAGCAUUUGCCAAGAAUGUCUUCAUUAAUCAAGAACGAAAGUCAGAGGUUCGAAGGCGAUCAGAUACCGCCCUAGUUCUGACCGUAAACGAUACCAACUAGCGUUCCGUUGGCGGUAAAUACGCCUUGACGGGCAGCUUCCCGGAAACGAAAGUUUUUCGGUUCCGGGGGAAGUAUGGUUGCAAAGCUGAAACUUAAAGAAAUUGACGGAAGGGCACCACCAGGAGUGGAGCCUGCGGCUUAAUUUGACUCAACACGGGAAAACUCACCUGGCCCGGACACCGUGAGGAUUGACAGAUUGAGAGCUCUUUCAUGAUUCGGUGGUUGGUGGUGCAUGGCCGUUCUUAGUAGGUGG
This 733-nucleotide ribosomal RNA is filed under the name Dirofilaria repens. RNAcentral's name for it is "SSU rRNA". It matches the Rfam family "Eukaryotic small subunit ribosomal RNA", at positions 564 to 1304 of the family's 1831-position model. Lineage: Eukaryota; Metazoa; Nematoda; Chromadorea; Rhabditida; Onchocercidae. The record is from RNAcentral.